Rhipicephalus microplus (southern cattle tick) is the source of this 184-nucleotide small nuclear RNA. RefSeq annotates it as U2 spliceosomal RNA. Lineage: Eukaryota; Metazoa; Arthropoda; Arachnida; Ixodida; Ixodidae. The record is from RefSeq and is a predicted model, not a curated record.
AUGCUUUUGUGUACGUAAUAUGAAUAAAAAGUGUGUUCUUAUCAACUUAAGAUCUGAUACAAAUCCUAUUUGGAUCCAAGAUAAUAAACUUAUUUUUGCAACGUGGUGGAGUGUUUCAAGCUUGCUUCACCUUCACCACGGGUUGACCCGGUUUUGCACUACCUCCGGGAUCAGCCGACUCACC